This 70-nucleotide small nuclear RNA is filed under the name Canis lupus familiaris (dog). Its description in RNAcentral is "U4 spliceosomal RNA". It matches the Rfam family "U4 spliceosomal RNA", at positions 1 to 70 of the family's 138-position model. From Rfam's summary of the family: U4 small nuclear RNA (U4 snRNA) is a component of the major U2-dependent spliceosome. The structure of U4 snRNA from yeast and human has been reported. U4 snRNA presents a k-turn RNA motif in the 5p-SL related to recognition of Snu13 protein. RNAcentral also lists the same sequence under 1 other name. The record is from Rfam by way of RNAcentral. Lineage: Eukaryota; Metazoa; Chordata; Mammalia; Carnivora; Canidae.
GGCUUUGCACAGCGGCAGUGUCGUAGCCAAUGAGAUUUAUCUGAGGUGCGAUUAUUGCUAAUUGAAAAUG